ACAUUGGGCUAAAUAUGUUCCAAGAGCCCUCCCUGUUCAAACAGCCUAUGAACCAAUGAACAAGAGCAUUUAGGAGUCUGUUGUGGUUGCAGGAGUAUGAAAGCAGUCAGAGGGUGGUCAUAGGAAGGUUUUCUUUCAGGUCCCUUCUGACUCUGUGACAUUGUGAGAUCCCAGCAGGCACAGUAGUAAGUGGCUUCAUCCAACUUGGCAACAUUAUUAAUGAUCAGGAGGGUCUGAGACCUGUGCAAAGGAAGUGUGCCAGCUGGGCUGUAGCAGGAUCCCUCAGAGUGGAAUGAGCCUGAGGAGAGGGCAGGAGCUUCAUUCCACAUUCACUCCCAGCAUGAGUGGAGCAAACGAAUGCUAACUUCUUCAGGUCACAGGACACUGCUGAGGAAACGUGGGCAUUUGGGAUUUAAGAAGAGUCAAAAUGAUGGGGAACACGUAUGAGGCCAGAGAGAGGAGAAGAUGAUGUUUCCAGCAAUGACAUCCUGCUGUGUCCCAAGAAAAAGGCAGGGAAGUGUGUGCUUGAUGGCCAGUGGCUCAAUAAUCACAGCAGUAAGUGACCUCACCUUCCUUUUUGUGAAAUUUACUUUCAAGGUGGAAGUGGAAGGAUGAGCAUCAUUGUAACCGCAACACCUAAUGGACCCUGAGCAGGUGCGAUUGUCAACACACAUCCGAUGCUGACUUUGGUUUCAGUUGACACCAGUUUUUGACUUCAUUUUCAGUCUUGGCUGGAUAUUUUACA
Molecule: long non-coding RNA, 745 nt
Organism: Rhinopithecus roxellana (golden snub-nosed monkey)
Lineage: Eukaryota; Metazoa; Chordata; Mammalia; Primates; Cercopithecidae
Exons: 3
Source: RefSeq, a predicted model, not a curated record